UGCUCUGAGUGAUCAAUUGGUCA
This 23-nucleotide non-coding RNA is filed under the name Arabidopsis thaliana (thale cress). Lineage: Eukaryota; Viridiplantae; Streptophyta; Magnoliopsida; Brassicales; Brassicaceae. The record is from RNAcentral.